Molecule: ribosomal RNA, 492 nt
Filed under: uncultured bacterium
Lineage: Bacteria
Description: partial 16S ribosomal RNA
Rfam family: Bacterial small subunit ribosomal RNA
Source: RNAcentral
AGUGAACGCUGGCGGUAGGCCUAACACAUGCAAGUCGAACGGCAGCACAGUAAGAGCUUGCUCUUACGGGUGGCGAGUGGCGGACGGGUGAGGAAUACAUCGGAAUCUACUUUUUCGUGGGGGAUAACGUAGGGAAACUUACGCUAAUACCGCAUACGACCUACGGGUGAAAGCAGGGGAUCUUCGGACCUUGCGCGAUUGAAUGAGCCGAUGUCGGAUUAGCUAGUUGGCGGGGUAAAGGCCCACCAAGGCGACGAUCCGUAGCUGGUCUGAGAGGAUGAUCAGCCACACUGGAACUGAGACACGGUACGGACUCCUACGGGAGGCAGCAGUGGGGAAUAUUGGACAAUGGGCGCAAGCCUGAUCCAGCCAUACCGCGUGGGUGAAGAAGGCCUUCGGGUUGUAAAGCCCUUUUGUUGGGAAAGAAAAGCAGCAGGUUAAUACCCCGCUGUUCUGACGGUACCCAAAGAAUAAGCACCGGCUAACUUCGUG